GGCCGGCUGGCCUAAUGGUUAAGGCGUCAGUUUCCGGGGAUACCCUUAGUUAGCUGAAGAUUCUGAGUUCGAAUCUCAGGUUGGUCG
Molecule: transfer RNA, 87 nt
Filed under: Ganoderma leucocontextum
Lineage: Eukaryota; Fungi; Basidiomycota; Agaricomycetes; Polyporales; Polyporaceae
Description: tRNA-Arg
Rfam family: tRNA
About the family: Transfer RNA (tRNA) molecules are approximately 80 nucleotides in length. Their secondary structure includes four short double-helical elements and three loops (D, anti-codon, and T loops).
Source: RNAcentral